GAAUUUAGUGUUUUGAGGGAAGGAGAGACAUGUCCCAAAUGUGAGAAGUGUCUGGAGAUAGUGAAGGAGCCAAGCAUCACGGUAAUUUAAAACCCCACUCUCCUCGUAGCUUUAGGAAAGGCUGAUGAACACAUAGUGUUUUUUUUAUUUUUAUUUUUUUUCCCCGCUGUACAGCAUGGGGAUCAAGUUACUCUUACAUGUAUACAUUUUUCCCCCCACCCUUUGUUCUGUUGCAAUAUGAAUAUCUAGACAUAGUUCUCAAUGCUAACACAUAGAGGUGAGAUGUGAGUGAGAUCAAAAGUCCAGCAGGAGCUGGACCAGAGCCAGAAGGCACUGUUAAGAGCACUAGCUGCUGGGAAUUUGCAGAAAUUGUUGGAAGGUCAUUGGAUGGAGGGAUCCAGGCAGCUUUUAUAACAUGCUGUUAUAACAGGGUACUUGCAAUGACAUCUGAUUGCUGCUGUGGUGCUGUGUAACUCAUAGAAUGUUUAAUGGUGAUCCAUUCCUUCCCCCGUCCCCCGCAAGAUCUUUUUUAUGGGUGCUCCAAGAACUAUCUUGAUAUUCCCCUUUCUGCCCAAUGGAAGCCAUUUUUAGUUCACACUUUAAAAGGGAAGCACAACUUCCCAAGAAAGGGCUUAUCAUUCCCUUCUUUUCCUAAUUUACACAGACCCUGAGGAUGCUUGUCAGAGCCACAGAGCUUUGGCCUGCCUAGCUAGACCAGCACUGUGUAGGGAGAGAAGUGGGAUAGGAAGAUCUUCCAUAAAGUAUUGGGAAGACUGAUCUGAGCAAGUAGCUCAGCAAAUAUUAAGACUCCAGUGAAUGCCCUAAAGCAAGAUGCCAAGGUCUCCAUGUAGUUGGAUUGGGAACAGAGCAAGUCCAGCCAGUGCCAAAGUAAAUAAGCACUCUCUCCUUCCUUAGGGAGGAAGACCCAGUUGAUGGAAGAACCUAUUGUUUAGCCUUAAUAUCUACUGUAAUUCCAAACUUUGGGUACAGAGAUCAGUGAGCUCUGACUGGCAUCAUUCUCCCUUCUUAGAUAAGAGUACCUUGACUUUCCUUUAGGGGACUAUUCUCAGAUCAAGUUCUGGUGGAGUAAAGUCCAUCCUUUGGUUCUAGAUUGAGGACAUAUGACUGUGCCAAUCAAAGAAGAGCAGUUAGCUUAGGCAUGGUCUCAAAUUCAGGCCAGUCAGGACUCUGGAUUUUCAUUGAACUGUUAAGAAGUGAAUUCUCAGAGUUCCCAUUGUGGUGCAGUGGAAAUGAAUCCGACUAGGAACCAUGAGGUUGUGGGGUGGAUCCCUGGACUUGCUCACUGGGUUAAGGAUCCAGCAUUGCCAUGAGCUGUAGUGUAGGUCGAAGAUGUGGCUCAGAUCUUGCGUGGCUGUGGCUGUGGCCAUCAACUGUAGCUCCCAUUCGACCCCUAGCCUCGGAACCUCCAUAUGCCUCAAGUGCAGCCCUAAAAAG
RNAcentral lists this long non-coding RNA (1455 nucleotides) under Sus scrofa (pig). RNAcentral describes it as "lncRNA (multiple genes)". Lineage: Eukaryota; Metazoa; Chordata; Mammalia; Artiodactyla; Suidae. The record is from RNAcentral.